UGUGGCCGAGUGGUUUAAGGCAACGGUCUUGAAAACCGUCGAAGGGGAGACUCUUCCGUGAGUUCUUAUACUAGGAU
Molecule: transfer RNA, 77 nt
Filed under: Pseudomonas aeruginosa
Lineage: Bacteria; Pseudomonadati; Pseudomonadota; Gammaproteobacteria; Pseudomonadales; Pseudomonadaceae
Description: tRNA-Ser
Source: RNAcentral